RNAcentral lists this ribosomal RNA (502 nucleotides) under uncultured bacterium. RNAcentral describes it as "partial 16S ribosomal RNA". It matches the Rfam family "Bacterial small subunit ribosomal RNA", at positions 28 to 507 of the family's 1533-position model. The record is from RNAcentral.
GACGAACGCUGGCGGCGUGCUUAACACAUGCAAGUCGAACGGUGAAGGGGUCUGCUUUUGUGGGCCCUGGAUGAGUGGCGAACGGGUGAGUAACACGUGAGUAACCUGCCCCCUUCUUCUGGAUAACCGCAUGAAAGUGUGGCUAAUACGGGAUAUUCUGGGUCUGUCGCAUGAUGGGUCUGGGAAAGAUUGCGCCUUUGGGUGUUUUUGGUGGGGGAUGGGCUCGCGGCCUAUCAGCUUGUUGGUGGGGUGAUGGCCUACCAAGGCGGUGACGGGUAGCCGGGCUGAGGGGGUGGACGGUCACAAUGGGACUGAGACACGGCCCAGACUCCUACGGGAGGCAGCAGUGGGGAAUAUUGCACGAUGGGCGCAAGCCUGAUGCAGCGACGCCGCGUGAGGGAUGGAUGCCUUCGGGUUGUAAACCUCUUUCGCCAGUGAAGCAGGCCUGCUCCUUGUGGGUGGGUUGACGGUAGCUGGAUAAGAAGCGCCGGCUAACUACGUG